RNA transcript from Camelus dromedarius (Arabian camel), 885 nucleotides. It is a transcript of the gene named proteasome activator complex subunit 2-like, with no coding region annotated. The transcript has a single exon. The record is from RefSeq and is a predicted model, not a curated record. NCBI's taxonomy places the organism in Eukaryota, Metazoa, Chordata, Mammalia, Artiodactyla, Camelidae.
UGGCUCUCCUCGACGGCCCAGCUUUUUAAGCAUCAGGAUUAAAGUUUAGUCAAGAGUGACAAGAACCGGAGACUGGCGAUCUAGCAGCAAGUGGAGCAGCAUGGCCAAACCUUGUGGGGUGUGCCUGAGCGGGGAAGCCUGCAAACAGGUAGAUGUCUUCAGGCAAAAUCUUUUCCAGGAGGCUGAGGAAUUCCUCUACAGAUUCUUGCCUCAGAAUAUCAUAUACCUGAAUCAGCUCUUGCAGGAGGAUCCCCUCAGUGUGACUGACCUGACUUCUCUCCGGGCCCCACUGGGCAUCCCCAUCCCAGACCCUCCACCCAAGGAUGAUGAGAUGGAAAUGGAUAAGCAGGAGAAGAAAGAAGUCCCUAAGUGCGGCUUCCUUCCUGGAAUUAGAAGGUCCUGACCCUGCUUGCUCUGAUUAAGCCAGAAGUCUGGACUCUCAAAGAAAAAUGCAUUCUGGUGAUCACAUGGAUCCACCACCUGACCCCCAAAAUUGAGGAUGGAGAUGACUUUGGAGUAGCAAUCCAGGAAAAGGUGCUGGAGAGGGUAAAUGCAGUCAAGACCAAAGUGGACGCCUUCCAGACAACCAUUUCCAAGUACUUCUCAGAACGCGGGGAUGCUGUAGCCAAGGCUUCUAAGGAGACCUGUGUGAUGGAUUACCGGGCCCUGGUGCGCGAGCGAGAUGAGGCAGCCUAUGGGGAGCUCAGGGCCACGGUGCUGGACCUGAGGACCUUCUAUGCUGAGCUGUACCAUAUUAUCAGCAGCGACCUAGAGAAAAUUGUCAACCCAAAGGGUGAAGAGAAGCCAUCUAUACACUGAGCCCAGGGUUAGAAGGGAAAUAAAUGACCUAUAUACUUUGUGUGGAUUUAAAAAAAAAAAAUGUUA